UUCUCAUAGUACAGGGGUAUAUUUGGCCCUAUUCCGUUAUUUUAUUCAAACCGUAGCCUUUUGGGGUUCUAUAAAUAGAACCCCAUAUUCUUCAUCUCAGACCACGGUUGGAAGGGCUAGAACAAGUGUUCUUACAAAGAACUUUCUGAGUUUAAAGUUCUGAAACCUAAGUUCAUUUUCACUUAAAAUUUUCUCUCGUCUUCUUUCGAGGUUCAAAUCUUUGGUGAAAGGAAGCAUUUUCGCUCUCGUAGCCUCAGUCGCUGCUCCGCAACAGAUUAAGGUGCUAUACGACUUGAGUGUGUUACCGUUGACGAGUGCUCGAUGAAAGGUAACAGAGUCUAAGCCAACUUUGAAGAACUUCCAAGAGAAGUGAAAGGGCUUGUCAAUAUGAUUAAAUAGAGACUUCCUAAUUUUAGGAUUAGGAGCAAAAAGAUCAAGAACAUCAAAUACUCUGAUGUGGUUCCUCAUGUAUAGUCUAAUCUUAUACUUUUGGAAGCUUAACUACGAUCAAGAGAGUCAUAUUCUCAUCCUCUGUAUAG
Long non-coding RNA from Lycium ferocissimum, 539 nucleotides. RefSeq lists it as uncharacterized. The record is from RefSeq and is a predicted model, not a curated record. The transcript is spliced from 2 exons. Lineage: Eukaryota; Viridiplantae; Streptophyta; Magnoliopsida; Solanales; Solanaceae.